GUGCCAGCCGCCGCGGUAAUACAGAGGGUGCAAGCGUUAAUCGGAUUUACUGGGCGUAAAGCGUGUGUAGGUGGUCAGCUAAGUCGGUUGUGAAAUCCCUGGGCUCAACCUGGGAAUUGCAGUCGAUACUGGCAGACUCGAGUUCGGUAGAGGGCGACGGAAUUCCCGGUGUAGCGGUGAAAUGCGUAGAUAUCGGGAGGAACAUCGAUGGCGAAGGCAAUCGCCUGGGCCUGAACUGACACUGAGACACGAAAGCGUGGGUAGCAAACAGGAUUAGAAACCCUGGUAGUCC
Molecule: ribosomal RNA, 292 nt
Filed under: uncultured bacterium
Lineage: Bacteria
Description: partial 16S ribosomal RNA
Rfam family: Bacterial small subunit ribosomal RNA
Source: RNAcentral